AAGGUCUUAGCUUAAUUAAAGUGUCUGAUUUGCAUUCAGGAGAUGCGUAUUAAUAUUUCGCAGGUCCUA
Molecule: transfer RNA, 69 nt
Filed under: Uma scoparia
Lineage: Eukaryota; Metazoa; Chordata; Lepidosauria; Squamata; Phrynosomatidae
Description: tRNA-Ala
Rfam family: tRNA
About the family: Transfer RNA (tRNA) molecules are approximately 80 nucleotides in length. Their secondary structure includes four short double-helical elements and three loops (D, anti-codon, and T loops). Further hydrogen bonds mediate the characteristic L-shaped molecular structure. tRNAs have two regions of fundamental functional importance: the anti-codon, which is responsible for specific mRNA codon recognition, and the 3' end, to which the tRNAs corresponding amino acid is attached (by aminoacyl-tRNA synthetases). tRNAs cope with the degeneracy of the genetic code in two manners: having more than one tRNA (with a specific anti-codon) for a particular amino acid; and 'wobble' base-pairing, i.e. permitting non-standard base-pairing at the 3rd anti-codon position.
Source: RNAcentral